This 399-nucleotide ribosomal RNA is filed under the name uncultured Ceratobasidiaceae. RNAcentral describes it as "eukaryotic LSU rRNA". The stretch from base 1 to 105 matches the Rfam family "5.8S ribosomal RNA", at positions 50 to 154 of the family's 154-position model. The record is from RNAcentral. Lineage: Eukaryota; Fungi; Basidiomycota; Agaricomycetes; Cantharellales; Ceratobasidiaceae.
GAAAUGCGAUAAGUAAUGUGAAUUGCAGAAUUCAGUGAAUCAUCGAAUCUUUGAACGCACCUUGCGCUCCUUGGUAUUCCUCGGAGCAUGCCUGUUUGAGUAUCAUGAAAUCUUCAAAAUAAAUCUUUUGUUCACUCGAUUGAUUUUAUUUUGGACUUGGAGGCUUGCAGAUUCACGUCUGCUCCUCUUAAAUUUAUUAGCUGGAUCUCGGUGAGCUCGGUUCCACUCGGCGUGAUAAGUAUCACUCGCUGAGGACACUGUAAAAGGUGGCCGGGAUUGCGGAUGAACCGCUUCUAAUAGUCCAUUGACUUGGACAAUAAAUACUUUAUGAUCUGAUCUCAAAUCAGGUAGGACUACCCGCUGAACUUAAGCAUAUCAAUAAGCGGAGGAAAAGAAACU